GCUGGAAGAGGUCAUGGCUGAUCUACAGUCAGUGAGACAAACUGAAAGUGCCUUGCGCAGGGAGAUUGAGACACGCAAGGCUGAGUGGCAAACCAAGAUGGAAGAAGCCAAGAUACGAGAGUCAGAGCUGAAAGAAACGCUGCGCGAAUUACAUCUCAAAGAGGAGGAGAGGAGCGAGAAAAUGAAGCAGUGUGAGGAAAGAGAGGCGAAUGCCCUGCAGAGAGGAGCUGAAGAGGAGAGACAGAAAUACAGGGUUGAGGUAGAGGAGUACAGAGAGCAGGUUCGACAACAUGCAUACACCAUUGUUGCCAUGGAGACGCGAAUUAACAAAGCUCAGCAGAGUGAGGAAAUAUGGAAAGAGAUGGAGGAGGAGAGAGACUCACUGAAGGAGCAACUCAAAGAGGCGCUCGGCAGGCUGGAGGGCUUCGAAAGCAACAGCACAUCUUACACAUCAGAAAAACAGCAGGAACCGGAUCAGAAAAUAACAUCCCUCCGGGCAUCUCUAAUCUCAUCCCAACAGGAAGUGGUCAGUCA
Molecule: long non-coding RNA, 534 nt
Filed under: Sinocyclocheilus grahami
Lineage: Eukaryota; Metazoa; Chordata; Actinopteri; Cypriniformes; Cyprinidae
Description: lncRNA (ENSSGRG00000027526.1)
Source: RNAcentral